This 253-nucleotide ribosomal RNA is filed under the name uncultured bacterium. RNAcentral's name for it is "partial 16S ribosomal RNA". It matches the Rfam family "Bacterial small subunit ribosomal RNA", at positions 524 to 776 of the family's 1533-position model. The record is from RNAcentral.
UACGUAGGCAGCAAGCGUUGUUCGGAGUUACUGGGCGUAAAGAGUGUGUAGGCGGUUCUCUAAGUCUGGUGUGAAAUCUCCCGGCUCAACUGGGAGGGUGCAUUGGGAACUGGAGGGCUCGAGUGUGGGAGAGGAAAGCGGAAUUCCUGGUGUAGCGGUGAAAUGCGUAGAUAUCAGGAGGAACACCUGUGGUGUAGACGGCUUUCUGGACCACCACUGACGCUGAGACACGAAAGCGUGGGGAGCAAACAGG